This 421-nucleotide long non-coding RNA is filed under the name Nicotiana benthamiana. RNAcentral describes it as "long non-coding RNA (NBEN_LNC030567)". Lineage: Eukaryota; Viridiplantae; Streptophyta; Magnoliopsida; Solanales; Solanaceae. The record is from RNAcentral.
GCAUAUUAGAUGACACUAGAAGACAAAUAGCAAUUGGUGACGUAAUUAGAUCCAUCACAUAAAAAGCAAAAAUGAAUCAGCAAUUCGAAAUUCAUAAUAGGAGUUUAUCAAAAUAGAAAUGACAGAUUUUUCAGUAACAAACAACAGUGAUAUUGGACUUAAAUCUCUCUUAGAAUCCAGCGAGCAAGGAGCAUACAAUUCCAGAUUUUCUUCUUGUCUUCAGCCUUUUCAGAUAUAACUUCUGUAUAUUUUAGUUACUGCGAAGGUGUUUUGGCGUGUGAGUGAGAUGAGAAGAGUAAGAAAUCGAGAAGAAAAAGAGGGCUGUGUUCUUUCUUCUAUGGUGUGUGGAGGUCCAAUUGUUGAGUGAAAAUGAGAAGAAGACCCAGGAGUGUAACGACGCUCCUCUCAUUUGCUAGGUCUU